GAUGAACGCUGGCGGCGUGCCUAAUACAUGCAAGUCGAGCGAACAGACGAGGAGCUUGCUCCUCUGACGUUAGCGGCGGACGGGGGAGUAAAACGUGGAUAACCUACCUAUAAGACUGGGAUAACUUCGGGAAACCGGAGCUAAUACCGGAUAAUAUAUUGAACCGCACGGUUCAAUAGUGAAAGACGGUUUUGCUGUCACUUAUAGAUGGAUCCGCGCCGCAUUAGCUAGUUGGUAAGGUAACGGCUUACCAAGGCAACGAUGCGUAGCCGACCUGAGAGGGUGAUCGCCCACACUGGAACUGAGACACGGUCCAGACACGUCCGAGAGGCAGCAGUAGGAAAUCUGCCGCAAUGGGCGAAAGCCUGACGGAGCAACGCCGCGUGAGUGAUGAAGGUCUCCGGAUCGUAAAACUCUGUUAUUAGGGAAGAACAAAUGUGUAAGUAACUAUGCACGUAUUGACGGUACCUAAUCAGAAAGCCAAGGCUAACUACGUG
Molecule: ribosomal RNA, 497 nt
Filed under: uncultured bacterium
Lineage: Bacteria
Description: partial 16S ribosomal RNA
Rfam family: Bacterial small subunit ribosomal RNA
Source: RNAcentral